UCUUCAUUUCACGAACUUCCAGUUUUCAUUUUAGUUUUCCAUCUUCUAGGGUUUUGUAGGGUUAGGAGUUUAAUUUGGGGUUUACACGGAUAAUCUUCAUUUGAGAAAAAAUUGGGAGCACCAAAGAGAGGUGAAGUGGUGUGUCUCUUAGUAAUGGAGGAAGUGAUCAUGCUUUGUUGUAUCUCAACGUAUAUGAUCUCACCCCUGUCAAUAACUACCUGUACUGGUUGGGCUUCGGAAUCUUCCAUUCUGGUAUCGAAGGGUCUUUCUGCAACUGUUUAUUGCCUGAAAACAUUCAAGUUGCAGCUGUUAGACAUCUACCUGAUCAUGCAACAAUUUCUGAUGAAGAAUCAGAUUCCGGUGAUUCAUCUUUAACAAUGGGGAAUGAAGAAGAUGAAGUGGAUGAUGAUGAUGAUCAUCAUCUUUUGACUGAAUAGAAUAGUGAUGUGGCAUUUUUUGGGAUUAAAAAAUUUACAUUUCAACUACAACUUAUAUCUUCAAAUAAUGUUGAUUUGAUCUGUUGUCUUCAAUUUUUCAUUUGCAGGCAUCAAGAGAGGUUCAGGGUAGCAGGUUGUCAGCGACGACAGCAGCUGCAGAGCUGUUUCUUGCCAGUUUUGAGUUGGUGGAUGGUAGGGUCAGAGUUGGAGGGGUGGUCGGAGCAGUUGGGUGGCUGAAUAGAGCUACGGUGGGGAUCAACCUAAAGUGGCAACACGGAGGCUAAAGGGUAGACGAUGGUGGUUUCGACGGUUUUUGAGAGGGGAAGAUGGAGAGAUGUGCACCAAAUGGGUUGAUUUCUUCCUCUGUGCCAAGAACCUCCACAAUUGUGACAAGUGUUGCUCUCCCAUGGUGCCAAGUUGGUCCACUCCGGUCGUGACACAUUUUGCGACCUUAAUCCGUGUUCCGAUUUCCAACGAAAAAAGAUUUUGUUUAAAUUUUUUGUAUAUACUAGUCAGAUGUCCUGAAUGAUUCUGAAUAUGUGAUAAAAAUUUCCUAAGAUUAGACGUAACUAUGUUAAAAACACGUUUGUAUUAUUCAGUUACUUUUACAAUUUUUGCGCUUCGAUUGAUUUUGUAAAAUGACUAUCUAUUAAGCAAUAUUUCUAGCUAGUUGUACAUAUAUAAAUUUACCACAACAAAAUGUCGAACACACAUGGAUAUAUUAACCCUAGUUACCUGAAAAAAAACAAAAUUUUAUAAUGAAAAUUAGAACAAAGACUAUACUUUUAAAAUUUUCGAAUAACUUAAAGGAAUUGAUACAUUUAAUGGAAUCGCCACAGUGACAAGUACAUCACUUUUUUCCCAUUAAAUUAUCAUCCAUUUGACUAAGAAAACGAUAUCUUGGCUCUAGGACUCAUUCUAUUUCUCAUGAGGUACAAGGAUGGUGCGGUAAAACGACUA
Lactuca sativa (garden lettuce) is the source of this 1397-nucleotide non-coding RNA. NCBI's taxonomy places the organism in Eukaryota, Viridiplantae, Streptophyta, Magnoliopsida, Asterales, Asteraceae. The record is from RefSeq and is a predicted model, not a curated record.